RNAcentral lists this ribosomal RNA (506 nucleotides) under uncultured bacterium. RNAcentral describes it as "partial 16S ribosomal RNA". It matches the Rfam family "Bacterial small subunit ribosomal RNA", at positions 29 to 523 of the family's 1533-position model. The record is from RNAcentral.
AGUGAACGCUGACGGUAGGCCUAACACAUGCAAGUCGAACGGCAGCACAGGAGAGCUUGCUCUCUGGGUGGCGAGUGGCGGACGGGUGAGGAAUACAUCGGAAUCUACUUUCUCGUGGGGGAUAACGUAGGGAAACUUACGCUAAUACCGCAUACGACCUACGGUUGAAAGCAGGGGAUCUUCGGACCUUGCGCGAUUGAAUGAGCCGAUGUCGGAUUAGCUAGUUGGCGGGGUAAAGGCCCACCAAGGCGACGGUCCGUAGCUGGUCUGAGAGGAUGAUCAGCCACACUGGAACUGAGACACGGUCCAGACUCCUACGGGAGGCAGCAGUGGGGAAUAUUGGACAAUGGGCGCAAGCCAGAUCCAGCCAUACCGCGCGGGUGAAGAAGGCCUUCGGGUUGUAAAGCCCUUUUGUUGGGAAAGAAAUCCAUCUGGUUAAUACCCGGGUGGGAUGACGGUACCCAAAGAAUAAGCACCGGCUAACUUCGUGCCAGCAGCCGCCGUAA